AGUCCAGACUCCUACGGGAGGCAGCAGUGGGGAAUAUUGCACAAUGGGGGAAACCCUGAUGCAGCAACGCCGCGUGAGUGAAGAAGUAUUUCGGUAUGUAAAGCUCUAUCAGCAGGGAAGAAAAUGACGGUACCUGACUAAGAAGCCCCGGCUAACUACGUGCCAGCAGCCGCGGUAAUACGUAGGGGGCAAGCGUUAUCCGGAUUUACUGGGUGUAAAGGGAGCGUAGGUGGCAUGGUAAGCCAGAAGUGAAAACCCGGGGCUCAACUCUGUGGAUUGCUUUUGGAACUAUCAAGCUAGAGUGCUGGAGGGGUAAGCGGAAUUCCUAGUGUAGCGGUGAAAUGCGUAGAUAUUAGGAGGAACACCGGUGGCGAAGGCGGCUUACUGGACAGAAACUGACACUGAGGCUCGAAAGCGUGGGGAGCAAACAGGAUUAGAUACCCUAGUA
RNAcentral lists this ribosomal RNA (448 nucleotides) under uncultured bacterium. RNAcentral's name for it is "bacterial SSU rRNA". It matches the Rfam family "Bacterial small subunit ribosomal RNA", at positions 328 to 792 of the family's 1533-position model. The record is from RNAcentral.